GACGAACGCUGGCGGCAUGCCUAACACAUGCAAGUCGAACGAUGCUUUCGGGCAUAGUGGCGCACGGGUGCGUAACGCGUGGGAAUCUGCCCUUGGGUUCGGAAUAACAGUGAGAAAUUGCUGCUAAUACCGGAUGAUGUCUUCGGACCAAAGAUUUAUCGCCCAGGGAUGAGCCCGCGUAGGAUUAGCUAGUUGGUGGGGUAAUGGCCUACCAAGGCGACGAUCCUUAGCUGGUCUGAGAGGAUGAUCAGCCACACUGGGACUGAGACACGGCCCAGACUCCUACGGGAGGCAGCAGUGGGGAAUAUUGGACAAUGGGCGCAAGCCUGAUCCAGCAAUGCCGCGUGAGUGAUGAAGGCCUUAGGGUUGUAAAGCUCUUUUACCCGGGAUGAUAAUGACAGUACCGGGAGAAUAAGCUCCGGCUAACUCCGUG
Molecule: ribosomal RNA, 433 nt
Filed under: uncultured bacterium
Lineage: Bacteria
Description: partial 16S ribosomal RNA
Rfam family: Bacterial small subunit ribosomal RNA
Source: RNAcentral